UACGGGAGGCAGCAGUGGGGAAUCUUGCGCAAUGGGCGAAAGCCUGACGCAGCCAUGCCGCGUGAAUGAUGAAGGUCUUAGGAUUGUAAAAUUCUUUCACCGGGGACGAUAAUGACGGUACCCGGAGAAGAAGCCCCGGCUAACUUCGUGCCAGCAGCCGCGGUAAUACGAAGGGGGCUAGCGUUGCUCGGAAUUACUGGGCGUAAAGGGCGCGUAGGCGGAUCGUUAAGUCAGAGGUGAAAUCCCAGGGCUCAACCCUGGAACUGCCUUUGAUACUGGCGAUCUUGAGUAUGAGAGAGGUAUGUGGAACUCCGAGUGUAGAGGUGAAAUUCGUAGAUAUUCGGAAGAACACCAGUGGCGAAGGCGACAUACUGGCUCAUUACUGACGCUGAGGCGCGAAAGCGUGGGGAGCAAACAG
Molecule: ribosomal RNA, 418 nt
Filed under: uncultured bacterium
Lineage: Bacteria
Description: bacterial SSU rRNA
Rfam family: Bacterial small subunit ribosomal RNA
Source: RNAcentral